AGAGAGGUGGCCGAGUGGCUGAAGGCGCACGCUUGGAAAGCGUGUAUAUGGCAACAUAUCGAGGGUUCGAAUCCCUUUCUCUCUACGA
This 88-nucleotide transfer RNA is filed under the name Flavobacterium frigoris PS1. Its description in RNAcentral is "tRNA-Ser". It matches the Rfam family "tRNA". Rfam says of the family: Transfer RNA (tRNA) molecules are approximately 80 nucleotides in length. Their secondary structure includes four short double-helical elements and three loops (D, anti-codon, and T loops). Lineage: Bacteria; Pseudomonadati; Bacteroidota; Flavobacteriia; Flavobacteriales; Flavobacteriaceae. The record is from RNAcentral.